This 164-nucleotide ribosomal RNA is filed under the name uncultured bacterium. Its description in RNAcentral is "partial 16S rRNA". It matches the Rfam family "Bacterial small subunit ribosomal RNA", at positions 355 to 511 of the family's 1533-position model. The record is from RNAcentral.
UAGGGAAUCUUCCACAAUGGACGAAAGUACUGAUGGAGCAACGCCGCGUGAGUGAAGAAGGCUUCGGCUCGUAAAACUCUGUUGUUAAAGAAGAACAUAUCUGAGAGUAACUGUUCAGGUAUUGACGGUAUUUAACCAGAAAGCCACGGCUAACUACGUGCCAC